Molecule: ribosomal RNA, 367 nt
Filed under: uncultured bacterium
Lineage: Bacteria
Description: bacterial SSU rRNA
Rfam family: Bacterial small subunit ribosomal RNA
Source: RNAcentral
GGAGGAUCCAAGCGUUAUCCGGAUUUAUUGGGUUUAAAGGGUGCGUAGGCGGCCUGUUAAGUCAGGGGUGAAAGACGGUAGCUCAACUAUCGCAGUGCCCUUGAUACUGAUGGGCUUGAAUGUACUUGAGGUAGGCGGAAUGUGACAAGUAGCGGUGAAAUGCAUAGAUAUGUCACAGAACACCAAUUGCGAAGGCAGCUUACUAAAGUAUGAUUGACGCUGAGGCACGAAAGCGUGGGGAUCAAACAGGAUUAGAUACCCUGGUAGUCCACGCCCUAAACGAUGAACACUCGAUGUUGGCGAUAUACGGUCAGCGUCUAAGCGAAAGCGUUAAGUGUUCCACCUGGGGAGUACGCCCGCAAGGGUG